AGUGAACGCUGGCGGUAGGCCUAACACAUGCAAGUCGAACGGCAGCACAGUAAGAGCUUGCUCUUACGGGUGGCGAGUGGCGGACGGGUGAGGAAUACAUCGGAAUCUACUUUUUCGUGGGGGAUAACGUAGGGAAACUUACGCUAAUACCGCAUACGACCUACGGGUGAAAGCAGGGGAUCUUCGGACCUUGCGCGAUUGAAUGAGCCGAUGUCGGAUUAGCUAGUUGGCGGGGUAAAGGCCCACCAAGGCGACGAUCCGUAGCUGGUCUGAGAGGAUGAUCAGCCCCACUGGAACUGGGACACGGUCCAGACUCCUACGGGAGGCAGCAGUGGGGAAUAUUGGACAAUGGGCGCAAGCCUGAUCCAGCCAUACCGCGUGGGUGAAGAAGGCCUUCGGGUUGUAAAGCCCUUUUGUUGGGAAAGAAAAGCAGCAGGUUAAUACCCCGCUGUUCUGACGGUACCCAAAGAAUAAGCACCGGCUAACUUCGUG
RNAcentral lists this ribosomal RNA (492 nucleotides) under uncultured bacterium. RNAcentral's name for it is "partial 16S ribosomal RNA". It matches the Rfam family "Bacterial small subunit ribosomal RNA", at positions 29 to 507 of the family's 1533-position model. The record is from RNAcentral.